This 466-nucleotide ribosomal RNA is filed under the name uncultured bacterium. RNAcentral describes it as "partial 16S ribosomal RNA". It matches the Rfam family "Bacterial small subunit ribosomal RNA", at positions 28 to 507 of the family's 1533-position model. The record is from RNAcentral.
GACGAACGCUGGCGGCGCGCCUAACACAUGCAAGUCGAACGAGCGAGAGAGAGCUUGCUUUCUUGAGCGAGUGGCGAACGGGUGAGUAACGCGUGAGGAACCUGCCUCAAAGAGGGGGAAAACAGUUGGAAACGACUGCUAAUACCGCAUAAGCCCACGACCCGGCAUCGGGUUGAGGGAAAAGGAGCAAUCCGCUUUGAGAUGGCCUCGCGUCCGAUUAGCUAGUUGGUGAGGUAACGGCCCACCAAGGCGACGAUCGGUAGCCGGACUGAGAGGUUGAACCGGCAGCAUUGGACCUAGGACCCGGCCAGCCACCUUAGGGAGGGCGGCGGUGGGGAUAAUUACACAAGGGGGAAACCCUGAUGCAGCGACGCCGCGUGGAGGAAGAAGGUCUUCGGAUUGUAAACUCCUGUUGUUGAGGAAGAUAAUGACGGUACUCAACAAGGAAGUGACGGCUAACUACGUG